This is a small nucleolar RNA of Dipodomys ordii (Ord's kangaroo rat), 78 nucleotides long. Lineage: Eukaryota; Metazoa; Chordata; Mammalia; Rodentia; Heteromyidae. The record is from Ensembl.
UUGAGCCAAGGAUAAUUUGAAGUUAUCCCUGUCUGAGAAGAUGUUUUGUGUGAGGAGUUCUGAGUUACUGAGGCUCAG